UAAUACAGAGCCAGGCACGAGGGUGAAGAGGAGAAAACAUGAGAGGAGGAAGGGAGACCAGAGUGGUUUAUCAGGAGGGAAAUAGGAGAUAUAGAAUUCAAGUUCUGAUGGACAGAAUCAGGACGGACCAUGGGAUAAAAGGUCAAUGAGAUUAGCAGUAAAGAAGAGCUAAGUGGAUCAAAAGAAAGUUAUGGAAAACGCAAGGGGGGAGGGCAAUACUCAGAGGCAGAAGAAGACAAGAUAAACAGAGACCAAGAGAAAAGAGGUGAAACCGUUUCAUAAGAGUAAUAGAGAGGAGAUGGACAUAUGGGCAAAUUAGCUAUCCCAACUGGAACCUAGCUAAUGCAUUCCGAAGAGGCAGACUUCCAGUCUGAGGUAGAUGAAAAGAGCAGCCAUAGAAACAGAUCUGUAGAUGCAUCAAUUGGAAAGGAUGGGAGGGUUGGAGGAGGAGCACAUUUGGAUGACUACAUUAGAUUGUGGCAUAUGAGGUCACUUUAUCUGAUGAAGCAUCAAUAGGAGAGGAUGAAAGGGAGGGAGGGAGAGGAAAAGACAGAAGAACAGAUGAGGUAAGUGCUUGGGCUUGUGAUAAGAGGAUGGGGGCUCCAGAACUCGGCUUCAUGAUUUAAAAUGAUAAGACAAAUGUAUUACUGUGAAUCCCAUUCGUUCAAUGACUGUUUGUUGUUUUACAGGAGCACUAUGUUCUGCUUCCGUGUGGAUUGACAGCAUUGCUUUAAUGAGCUGCUGGAGGGCACAAUGGAGGAAGAGGGAGAGCGUCCAUUAUAGGCAGUUUGCCAUGGCCCUAAAUGGGCUUUUGGAUGUUCAUUUUUCCUGCUUUAUAUCAUACAACUUUACAAUAAAAAUUAAUUGCAAGCA
Molecule: long non-coding RNA, 873 nt
Organism: Coregonus clupeaformis (lake whitefish)
Lineage: Eukaryota; Metazoa; Chordata; Actinopteri; Salmoniformes; Salmonidae
Exons: 2
Source: RefSeq, a predicted model, not a curated record